Molecule: ribosomal RNA, 350 nt
Filed under: Escherichia coli
Lineage: Bacteria; Pseudomonadati; Pseudomonadota; Gammaproteobacteria; Enterobacterales; Enterobacteriaceae
Also listed under: 2 other names
Description: bacterial SSU rRNA
Rfam family: Bacterial small subunit ribosomal RNA
Source: RNAcentral
AAAUUGAAGAGUUUGAUCAUGGCUCAGAUUGAACGCUGGCGGCAGGCCUAACACAUGCAAGUCGAACGGUAACAGGAAGCAGCUUGCUGCUUCGCUGACGAGUGGCGGACGGGUGAGUAAUGUCUGGGAAACUGCCUGAUGGAGGGGGAUAACUACUGGAAACGGUAGCUAAUACCGCAUAACGUCGCAAGACCAAAGAGGGGGACCUUCGGGCCUCUUGCCAUCGGAUGUGCCCAGAUGGGAUUAGCUUGUUGGUGGGGUAACGGCUCACCAAGGCGACGAUCCCUAGCUGGUCUGAGAGGAUGACCAGCCACACUGGAACUGAGACACGGUCCAGACUCCUACGGGAG